RNAcentral lists this transfer RNA (72 nucleotides) under Camelus bactrianus (Bactrian camel). It matches the Rfam family "tRNA". Rfam says of the family: Transfer RNA (tRNA) molecules are approximately 80 nucleotides in length. Their secondary structure includes four short double-helical elements and three loops (D, anti-codon, and T loops). RNAcentral also lists the same sequence under 2 other names. The record is from Rfam by way of RNAcentral. Lineage: Eukaryota; Metazoa; Chordata; Mammalia; Artiodactyla; Camelidae.
GAGGGUACGGCUCAGUGGUAGAGCACAUGCUUAGCAUGCACGAGGUCCUGGGUUCAAUCCCCAGUACCUCCA